Molecule: long non-coding RNA, 742 nt
Organism: Brassica oleracea var. oleracea
Lineage: Eukaryota; Viridiplantae; Streptophyta; Magnoliopsida; Brassicales; Brassicaceae
Exons: 3
Source: RefSeq, a predicted model, not a curated record
UAAGUAAUCUUUGUGUCCUGUUUACUUGAUUUCUAAACUUAGUUUAGUUAAUUGUGCAAGACAACAGGACAUCCUGCUUUUUCCGGGAAGCUGCCUACAUUCUGGGCUGUUAAGACAAACAUCCAGGUGUCAGGGGAGCUUACAACUAGCUGUGGACCAGACCCUUCUUUUCAGUUUGCUCUUUCCCUGGCUAACCAGCUCUUUGGAGAAACCACAGCCAAAUCGCUUGAAGAGCUUCUGGUUUUUGUCCUUAAUUCACUUGUAGGAUCAUUCUUUUCUUUAUCCAUCUUGAUAUGUAACAGUCUUCUUUUCUAAUCAUUUAUCUAGCUUCUACGCGAUGGUUACCAGAAUCCUAAGACGGAAGAGUUUAAUAGCAUUGACUGGUCUCUAAACCACACACCUCGUAUUCUGUGAAAAUGGUUUUAAUGAUGUAACUAAAUUCAGGUUCUUAUCACGGUUUACUCAAGGAGAAGAGAACAGCUGAGUACCUCUCAGACACAGAAGGGCCUGCGAAUGACCAAAUGAUCCAAGGAGCAGAAGUUGUUAUAGAUGGAAACGUGAUUACAAGUUUGGGGCUGGCAACUGUUACUAAUUUCUCUCUAGCUAUUGUUAGCAAGCUGUUUGGACAUGGUAGAGCGAUAAGUGUUUCAGAAGGACUUGUCCAUGAGUAUAGAGGGAAUUUGAAGGCAUCUUGAUCAAGAUACACAGUUAGAAGAUGUCUCCACUGCUUCUACAAGAAAAU